AGAAUCAACGCUGGCGGCGUGCCUAACACAUGCAAGUCGAACGAGAAAGGGUAGCAAUACCUGAGUAAAGUGGCGCACGGGUGAGUAACACGUGACUAACCUACCCUGGAGUGGGGGGAUAACUGAGGGAAACCUUAGCUAAUACCGCAUAACACCUACGGGUCAAAGGAGCAAUUCGCUUCAGGAGGGGGUCGCGGCCGAUUAGUUAGUUGGCGGGGUAAUGGCCCACCAAGACAGUGAUCGGUAUCCGGCCUGAGAGGGCGCACGGACACACUGGAACUGAAACACGGUCCAGACUCCUACGGGAGGCAGCAGUGGGGAAUUUUGCGCAAUGGGGGAAACCCUGACGCAGCAACGCCGCGUGGAGGAUGAAGUCCUUCGGGACGUAAACUCCUUUCGAUCGGGACGAUAAUGACGGUACCGGAAGAAGAAGCCCCGGCUAACUUCGCGCCAGCAGCCGC
This 461-nucleotide ribosomal RNA is filed under the name uncultured bacterium. RNAcentral describes it as "SSU rRNA". It matches the Rfam family "Bacterial small subunit ribosomal RNA", at positions 26 to 518 of the family's 1533-position model. The record is from RNAcentral.